GUCAUAUUCAUUUGAACAAUACAAGGUACAAACGAAUGAAAGAAACAAGAAGUACGUUUUGAACUUUUACAAGAAAUGAGGAAGACCAGUGGACAGACUGGACCACAACAGUUUACCAUUUUUGCAAAGAAGACUGAUGUACGAAAAAACUGUGAUAAUCAAUCCGUCAAAUGACUUCACUUCAGAGCAUUUGAUGUCUGUAAUUCUUGUUGUGCAAGUUAUGUCAUUGCCACCCUGUUGGAUGAUUUUAAAAUAGGAUUUUCCUUAUUUACAAUGAAAGUCUCCUCCAACAUGAUGAAGAUUCCAUUGUUCUCUCAUUCCCAUGAGAAUGGUUGCACAUCACCUAUAUCCAGUUAUUUGAGGAUAUGAGAAAUCUAAAUGUUUACUCCAAAAGAAAGCUGGUUAUGGCUCUAAUCACU
This is a long non-coding RNA of Xenia sp. Carnegie-2017, 419 nucleotides long. RefSeq lists it as uncharacterized. The record is from RefSeq and is a predicted model, not a curated record. Lineage: Eukaryota; Metazoa; Cnidaria; Anthozoa; Malacalcyonacea; Xeniidae. The transcript has 3 exons.